Molecule: ribosomal RNA, 429 nt
Filed under: Gemmatimonadota bacterium
Lineage: Bacteria; Pseudomonadati; Gemmatimonadota
Description: Gemmatimonadetes bacterium partial 16S ribosomal RNA
Rfam family: Bacterial small subunit ribosomal RNA
Source: RNAcentral
UAGGGAAUCUUCGGCAAUGGACGAAAGUCUGACCGAGCAACGCCGCGUGAGUGAAGAAGGUUUUCGGAUCGUAAAACUCUGUUGUUAGAGAAGAACAAGGACGUUAGUAACUGAACGUCCCCUGACGGUAUCUAACCAGAAAGCCACGGCUAACUACGUGCCAGCAGCCGCGGUAAUACGUAGGUGGCAAGCGUUGUCCGGAUUUAUUGGGCGUAAAGCGAGCGCAGGCGGUUUCUUAAGUCUGAUGUGAAAGCCCCCGGCUCAACCGGGGAGGGUAAUUGGAAACUGGGAGACUUGAGUGCAGAAGAGGGGGGUGGAAUUCCAUGUGUAGCGGUGAAAUGCGUAGAUAUAUGGAGGAACACCAGUGGCGAAGGCGGCUCUCUGGUCUGUAACUGACGCUGAGGCUCGAAAGCGUGGGGAGCGAACAGG